GAUCCUGGCUCAGAUUGAACGCUGGCGGCGUGCUUAACACAUGCAAGUCGUACGCGAAAGGGACUUCGGUCCCGAGUAAAGUGGCGCACGGGUGAGUAACACGUGGAUGACCUGCCUCUAUGAUGGGGAUAACAGUUGGAAACGACUGCUAAUACCGAAUACGCUCAUGAUGAACGUUGUGAGGAAAGGUGGCCUCUGCUUGCAAGCUAUCGCAUAGAGAUGAGUCCGCG
This 230-nucleotide ribosomal RNA is filed under the name uncultured bacterium. Its description in RNAcentral is "partial 16S ribosomal RNA". It matches the Rfam family "Bacterial small subunit ribosomal RNA", at positions 15 to 235 of the family's 1533-position model. The record is from RNAcentral.